RNAcentral lists this unclassified non-coding RNA (2244 nucleotides) under Hevea brasiliensis (rubber tree). Lineage: Eukaryota; Viridiplantae; Streptophyta; Magnoliopsida; Malpighiales; Euphorbiaceae. The record is from RNAcentral.
AUAAUUUCUAAACUCGCAUAACUAUAGACCUUGCAAAUAAUAAAUGGAAAUUUCGAAAGUGAUAAAUUCAGCAUAAGAGUACUGAAGGCGAAACUGUCCAUCAAAACUAUUCAUUACAGUAGUAGACUAGCAGUAGCCCAGCUAAAGGGUGGUUAUCAGUUAUCACUAUAUUUGAAUAAUAUGAAAAGGUGCAAUUCUUCAGUAUACAAAACCUUGAAAAAAGAUUGUAUCCUCAAGCCAAGGAGUCUACUCUUUGACAGCACAGUAUAAUGAAGUCUCUGUGUAUCAUCAGGCAACCUUUUCCAGCAAUUUGCUUGGCCUGAAAUAGUUCAAAAAGUUUAAAACAAAUAUGAGAUCUAAGAGAGACUAGCUUAAUACAAUUUGGAUUCAGUACAGAUUUUUACUCAAGUGCCUAAGAUGAUGUGUCCGAUACAAACACCAAAUUGACAAAAAAGGAGUCGAAUCAAUUUGCACCGGCAACUUAACAUGCCAAAUAGGAAAAAAUUUGAAUCUCUAGUGACUCAAUCUAAGAACCAAUUGUUAGAGAUAUAAACUAUUCUUAGACUCUCACCUACAAGUUUUAGUUUUUAGGUUUGAAUGAUUUCUUGUCACCAAUCACAAUAUAACUCUGCGUUUUAGAUAGUAUGACUAGCUUCAUCUCAGGCUAUUUUUAUCUCAACACGCUUAAUCAGAUGAGAAAGAAAAAAACAAGGUUUCCAUCAAUGCAAAAUACCAAUUAUAGGGAUGACCUUACCCUGCUAAGGGUAUGGGAACUGUGUUGGAUAAGUCCAUCAUCAAGAUUCAGAAGCCUUCAUAGAUUAGACGAGUCCCAGCUAGCGUAAACAGCCCCAAUGAGUUUAUCAUGCAGUAAGGCCCCAGAGCAAGCAACUAUGCCCCGAUCAAGACCCUCUAAGUAUACCCCCCUUGAAAAAUCAAGGCGCCUUCCUCCAGCAUCAGUUACCACACCACCAGCCUCUUCUACAAUGACUACGCCAGCAGCAUGAUCCCAUAUCUUCUCUUUGUAACCACACGAUGCAAAUUUCAUAAAAAUCUCAGCAUCUCCUCUAGCAAUGGCUGCAUAUUUGACCAUGCUAUGGACACGUAAGGGUUGUUUUUUAACCCCCAAGCUGUUAGCAACCCCCGCUGUGAAGGAGUGAUUCGAAUUAGCUUUCUCCACAGGUUCACAGAAGGUUGCCAGCUCAGGAUCAUCAAUGGAAGAAACUCGUAUGAAUUGUGCAGAAUUUGGCCAUUCAAAUUUCUUAUUUCCUUGGAUUAAUGGCUGCAUCCAUGCCUCACCACUGCCCCUCUGUGCAUACAUCACACAUCCUUUUUCCAAUGUAUCAGAAGUAGGUAAAGACAAUUUAGGCAUGCUCUGAUGAUACUGAUGAUGAUGAUUCAGCAAUUCUUUCUUCAUAGGGUAAUUCGGACACCCAAGAACUCCAAUCACUACCUUUCCUUCUUCAAUCAAGGCUAAAGCUAUAGCAUACUGAUCUCCACGCACAAAUCCUAAUGUUCCAUCAACAGGAUCAAGUACCCAAUGCCUUCCAACAGGACCCCCUCUUGAAUUGCAUCGACCAAUGGCCUCAAGAAUUUGUUCACCUCCAAGGGCCUUCUUGGGACUCUCAAGACCAUAUUUUGAUGCUUCAGCUAAGAUUUGAUUCACGGUGUUUGUGACAGUCGUCAGUAAGCCUGCUGAAUCUGCUUUAGAGAGAGUUUGUACAUCUUCUUCAGCAAUGAUGGAUACAUUUUGAUCCCUAAAAGAUUCUGAAAGUACCCAGCUAACAGUUGCUUGAACACUCCAAUCUGCAACAGUAACCAGAGAAUCAUCCUCCUUAGACUUAACCUGGUCAGUACUCACGGUAAGCAGCCCCUCUUGCACCCUCUGACAAAGAGAACAAGCCAUAUGAACAACUCUAACUGCCACAUCCAAUUCUUUAGCGUACUUGUUCUCGUUUUCCAUGAUUUGAUCUCUUUAGAAACUUAUAAUAUACCCAAAUGCAGAGACCAAAUGUUUAGCAAUACCCACCUCAGGAUUUAUACCAAAAACAAGAAUCUAAGUCCCCGACGUGGUUCCGCGACUGGGAUUUCUUAGGUUUGACCGGUCCAUGUUUGCAUUUCUGAUGCAAAACGAGAUCUUGUUCAGUGACAUCAUGUGUGGUGGAGGAGUUGUUUCGUUUGUUUAUGUAGAGUGAAAAUCAGCAAAUGAUGUCAGAGUCAGACUUUGAAGGUUGAAGUCUGCUUUUU